UUCCGGUUGAUCCUGCCGGACCCCACUGCUAUCGGGAUGGGACUAAGUACAUGCUAGUCAAGCGCCUUCCAGCCAUGUGGGAGGUGCGGCGCACAGCUCAGUAACACGUGGCUAACCUGCCCUUGGGACGGGACCAACCCCGGGAAACUGGGGCUAAUCCCCGAUAGGUGAAGAACUCUGGAAUGAGUCUUUGCCCAAAGGGCGUAUAGAUCAUGCUUCUAUGCGUUGCCCAAGGAUGGGGCCGCGACCGAUCAGGUUGUUGGUGAGGUAAUGGCCCACCAAGCCUAUAACCGGUGCGGGCCGUGAGAGCGGGAGCCCGGAGAUGGGCACUGAGACAAGGGCCCAGGUCCUACGGGGCGCAGCAGUCGCGAAACCUUUGCAAUACACGAAAGUGUGACAGGGNUCAUCCCGAGUGCCGACCGCUGAGGUUGGCUUUUACCCAGUCUAGAAAGCUGGGGGAAUAAGGAGAGGGCAAGUCUGGUGUCAACCGCCGCGGGUAAUACCAGCUCUCCGAGUGGCGUGGACGUUUAUUGGGCCUAAAGCAUCCGUAGCUGGCUGAACAAGUCCCCUGUUAAACCCACCGAUUUAAUCGUUGGCUUGCGGGGGAUACUGCUCGGCUAGGGGACGAGAGAGGCAGACGGUAUUCCCGGGGUAGGGGUGAAAUCCUAUAAUCCCGAGAAGACCACCAGUGGCGAAGGCUGUCUGCUAGAACGCGCCCGACGGUGAGGGAUGAAAGCUGGGGGAGCGAACCGGAUUAGAUACCCGGGUAGUCCCAGCUGUAAACGAUGCAGACUAGGUGUUUGGACGGCCACGUGCCGUUCUAGUGCCGCAGGGAAGCUGUUAAGUCUGCCGCCUGGGGAGUACGAUCGCAAGAUUGAAACUUAAAGGAAUUGGCGGGGGAGCACCACAAGGGGUGAAGCUGCGG
This 925-nucleotide ribosomal RNA is filed under the name uncultured archaeon. Its description in RNAcentral is "bacterial SSU rRNA". It matches the Rfam family "Archaeal small subunit ribosomal RNA", at positions 1 to 900 of the family's 1478-position model. The record is from RNAcentral.